GAAUCUUGGACAAUGGGGGCAACCCUGAUCCAGCCAUGCCGCGUGAGCGAUGAAGGCCUUAGGGUUGUAAAGCUCUUUCACCGGGGAAGAUAAUGACGGUCCCCGGAGAAGACGCCCCGGCUAACUCCGUGCCAGCAGCCGCGGUAAUACGGAGGGGGCUAGCGUUGUUCGGAAUUACUGGGCGUAAAGCGCACGUAGGCGGAUCAGUCAGUCAGGGGUGAAAUCCCGGGGCUCAACCCCGGAACUGCCUUUGAUACUGCUGGUCUGGAGGAUGAGAGAGGCGAGUGGAAUUCCGAGUGUAGAGGUGAAAUUCGUAGAUAUUCGGAGGAACACCAGUGGCGAAGGCGGCUCGCUGGCUCAUUACUGACGCUGAGGUGCGAAAGCGUGGGGAGCAAACAGG
RNAcentral lists this ribosomal RNA (400 nucleotides) under uncultured bacterium. RNAcentral's name for it is "bacterial SSU rRNA". It matches the Rfam family "Bacterial small subunit ribosomal RNA", at positions 359 to 776 of the family's 1533-position model. The record is from RNAcentral.